CCUACGGGCGGCUGCAGUGGGGAAUAUUGGACAAUGGGGGGAACCCUGAUCCAGCCAUGCCGCGUGUGUGAAGAAGGCCCUCGGGUUGUAAAGCACUUUCAGUGAGGAAGAACGCCUGGUGGUUAAUACCCAUCAGGAAAGACAUCACUCACAGAAGAAGCACCGGCUAACUCCGUGCCAGCAGCCGCGGUAAUACGGAGGGUGCGAGCGUUAAUCGGAAUUACUGGGCGUAAAGCGCGCGUAGGUGGCUUGAUAAGCCGGUUGUGAAAGCCCCGGGCUCAACCUGGGAACGGCAUCCGGAACUGUCAAGCUAGAGUGCAGGAGAGGAAGGUAAAAUUCCCGGUGUAGCGGUGAAAUGCGUAGAGAUCGGGAGGAAUACUAGUGGCGAAGGCGGCCUUCUGGACUGACACUGACACUGAGGUGCGAACGCGUGGGUAGCAAACAGGAUUAGAUACCCCAGUAGUC
RNAcentral lists this ribosomal RNA (465 nucleotides) under Vreelandella stevensii. RNAcentral describes it as "partial 16S ribosomal RNA". It matches the Rfam family "Bacterial small subunit ribosomal RNA", at positions 338 to 795 of the family's 1533-position model. Lineage: Bacteria; Pseudomonadati; Pseudomonadota; Gammaproteobacteria; Oceanospirillales; Halomonadaceae. The record is from RNAcentral.